GACGAGGGGUCCAAGCGUUGUUUCGGAAUCACUGGGCGUAAAGGGCGCGUAGGUGGCGUCGCAAGUCGAUGGUGAAAGCUCGGCGCUCAACGCCGAGUCGGCCCUUGAUACUGCGAGGCUGGAGCACUGUAGAGGCUAAUGGAAUUCCGGGUGUAGCGGUGGAAUGCGUAGAGAUCCGGAAGAACGACCGGUGGCGAAGGCGGUUAGCUGGGCAGUUGCUGACACUGAGGCGCGGACGAGCGUGGG
Molecule: ribosomal RNA, 246 nt
Filed under: uncultured bacterium
Lineage: Bacteria
Description: partial 16S ribosomal RNA
Rfam family: Bacterial small subunit ribosomal RNA
Source: RNAcentral